GAUGAACGCUGGCGGCGUGCCUAAUACAUGCAAGUCGAGCGAACGGACGAGAAGCUUGCUUCUCUGAUGUUAGCGGCGGACGGGUGAGUAACACGUGGAUAACCUACCUAUAAGACUGGGAUAACUUCGGGAAACCGGAGCUAAUACCGGAUAAUAUUUUGAACCGCAUGGUUCAAAAGUGAAAGACGGUCUUGCUGUCACUUAUAGAUGGAUCCGCGCUGCAUUAGCUAGUUGGUAAGGUAACGGCUUACCAAGGCAACGAUGCAUAGCCGACCUGAGAGGGUGAUCGGCCACACUGGAACUGAGACACGGUCCAGACUCCUACGGGAGGCAGCAGUAGGGAAUCUGCCGCAAUGGGCGAGAGCCUGACGGAGCAACGCCGCGUGAGUGAUGAAGGUCUUCGGAUCGUAAAACUCUGUUAUUAGGGAAGAACAUAUGUGUAAGUAACUGUGCACAUCUUGACGGUACCUAAUCAGAAAGCCACGGCUAACUACGU
This 496-nucleotide ribosomal RNA is filed under the name uncultured bacterium. RNAcentral describes it as "partial 16S ribosomal RNA". It matches the Rfam family "Bacterial small subunit ribosomal RNA", at positions 28 to 506 of the family's 1533-position model. The record is from RNAcentral.